This is a small nuclear RNA of Ochotona curzoniae (black-lipped pika), 102 nucleotides long. Lineage: Eukaryota; Metazoa; Chordata; Mammalia; Lagomorpha; Ochotonidae. The record is from RefSeq and is a predicted model, not a curated record.
GCUUGCUUUGGCAACACAUAUACCUAAAUUGGACUGAUACAGAGACUAGCAUGGCCCCUGUGCAAGGAUGACGCGCAAAUCAGUGAAACGUUUCAUAUUUUU